This 810-nucleotide long non-coding RNA is filed under the name Equus caballus (horse). Its description in RNAcentral is "lncRNA (ENSECAG00000050327.1)". Lineage: Eukaryota; Metazoa; Chordata; Mammalia; Perissodactyla; Equidae. The record is from RNAcentral.
CCUGCCUUCUUCCCCCCACAUACAGCAUCAUCAUUCCUGGAGAACUUAGGAAUCCUCCUGUGCCAUCCUGGGAGGUGACCCUCCAAUCUCUGCAGAUCCUUCUAGGAGCUGGUCUGAGCAUCGAAUUGCUCUACAUCUAGUUUUACAUUUCAAGGGGAAAGAUUAUUGCAAUGGAGAGGCCUGAUGACUUUUUGAGACCAAUGUUGGGAAGACAUGAGUUUCACCUAUUCUCAAGCAACCUGGAGGUCCAUGGAUUGCAGCCAUCUGUGGGUGUUGUGGAGGCUGAGUCUGUGUCAUGCACCAUGAGGCUGGGUGCAGAAGGGAGUUGUUUUGCUGGAGAGGGAGGUUUUCUGACCUCUCAACGCCCACACCUCAACCCAUCAGAAGUCAUAACUCAAGAAAUGAUAACAGGCCCAUCUCAGAAAAGCUGAGGAAGUUCCCACUUCCAGCUUCUCCCACCUUCUCGCUUCCUACCACACUCUCUCCAAGGACUGGACAAGUCACUUUAAAAUUUCAAAGAUGCUGCCACCACAGACUGAAGACCUGCAGGCGCUCACCUCCCCUGCUCCUGGACCUAUCACCGGCCAAUGCUCUUCCCCAUCUUUGUUCCUUUGCUUAGGCUUGUCUUCCCUCCUCCUCACUCCUCUUGACAGGUUGACUCCUUACAGCCUUCCAGACUCAGCUCCAGUGUUGCCUCUCCCUAGGGACCACUCUCCACAAUGCAGGCUAGGUUAUACGCCUCUCUCAGUGUCCCCAUAAAGACUAUUGUUUUCCAGAACUGCAAUAUAUUAAAAUUACCCAUUUCUAUUU